GGGGAUUUAGCUCAGUGGUAGAGCGCUUGCCUAGCAAGUGCAAGGCCCGUAGUUCAGUCCCUA
RNAcentral lists this transfer RNA (63 nucleotides) under Rattus norvegicus (Norway rat). It matches the Rfam family "tRNA". From Rfam's summary of the family: Transfer RNA (tRNA) molecules are approximately 80 nucleotides in length. Lineage: Eukaryota; Metazoa; Chordata; Mammalia; Rodentia; Muridae. The record is from Rfam by way of RNAcentral.